RNAcentral lists this ribosomal RNA (164 nucleotides) under uncultured bacterium. RNAcentral's name for it is "partial 16S ribosomal RNA". It matches the Rfam family "Bacterial small subunit ribosomal RNA", at positions 355 to 511 of the family's 1533-position model. The record is from RNAcentral.
UAGGGAAUCUUCCACAAUGGGCGAAAGCCUGAUGGAGCAAUGCCGCGUGAGUGAUGAAGGUUUUCGGAUCGUAAAGCUCUGUUGCCAGGGAAGAACGUCCAGGUGAGUAACUGCACCUGGAGUGACGGUACCUGAGAAGAAAGCCCCGGCUAACUACGUGCCAA